This is a long non-coding RNA of Coffea arabica (coffee), 1007 nucleotides long. RefSeq lists it as uncharacterized. NCBI's taxonomy places the organism in Eukaryota, Viridiplantae, Streptophyta, Magnoliopsida, Gentianales, Rubiaceae. The record is from RefSeq and is a predicted model, not a curated record.
UGGUCAAAAUAAUAUUAUUGACACGAUUAUUAUUUCAUCAUAGCUCAUAGGUAAUUUAAUCAAUUAGUAAGGUCAGAUUAAUGAAAUAAAUUUCUCCAUCUAUUUUAAUAUUCACCUGAGAAGAAGGCGAAAGCAGGCUAAUCCAAUCACAGUUUCAGCACCUCUUUAUAGAAACCCAAUUACCACAUUUCACAUCUAGAGAGAGUGAUCAGUGGGAGAUGGCAAAGGGUCUGAUAUGGGCAACAGCAGAGGACUUAGCAAGAAACAGAGGAAGAGUACUUUCACUGUAUAGACAGAUUUUAAGGAGCCUCAACUCGCCCGCUUUGCCUUUGAAUCUGGCUGCUAGAUUGUCCAAGAAAGCCGAGGUUCGUGCAAUCUUUAUGCUGGGUUCUGAAGAACGAUCCAUCCACAACAUUGAGGACCUUAUAGAUGCCGCAGAGUACUCUCUAUCUCUGUUGAGGAAAGGUGAAAUGCCAAAGCACAUCCAGUAAUUGAGUGAUGGAUGUCUAUAUCACUUCCUAUGGACUAAGCAAGCUGUAUACUUGAAUUGAGUUUGUUUCUGUCUGGAGUUGAUACUCUCCCAUAACUGUAGUUGGAAGUAUAUGACUGAUAACUGGAAAGGCUGUCCUACAACUGUUUUUGUGUAGCAGGAAUUUUCGUUUGUCGAUGAAUAAUAGUUGAUGAAACCAAAUUUACUAACGAGAUACUUACUAGUAUCUGGGGGAGUUGUCCUUCAACUCAACUCUAAAUGCCUAGUGGAAUUAAUGUUGAGAGAUGCUAACUUUAGUUGUGUCCUUAGAGAGUAGGUACUAGGUUGUUUUAUUUUAUUGUGUGUGUGUGUUUGAACUGGAACUGUGGCCAUGCUAAAGUUGUACCAAGUAGUUUUAUCUUAGGAAUCGUAAUAUACUUAGUUGUAAAUCCAAUUUUACUUUCUUUUGAAGUAAGAUGGGAAGAUGAUGGAGCUUCUCGGAUUUGCUGAAUUGGAAAUUUCUGAAUCUCCCAACAAA